RNAcentral lists this ribosomal RNA (406 nucleotides) under uncultured bacterium. RNAcentral's name for it is "partial 16S ribosomal RNA". It matches the Rfam family "Bacterial small subunit ribosomal RNA", at positions 29 to 526 of the family's 1533-position model. The record is from RNAcentral.
AUUGAACGCUGGCGGCAGGCCUAACACCUGCAAGUCGAACGAGUGGCGGACGGGUGAGUAAUGUCUGGGAAACUGCCCGAUGGAGGGGGAUAACUACUGGCAACGGUAGCUAAUACCGCAUACCAUCGGAUGUGCCCAGCGGGGAUUCGCUAGUAGGUGGGGUAAAGGCUCACCUAGGCGACGAGCCCUAGCUGGUCUGAGAGGAUGACCAGCCACACUGGAACGGAGAAACGGUCCAGACUCCUACGGGAGGCAGCAGGGGGGAAUAUUGCACAAUGGGCGCAAGCCUGAUGCAGCCAUGCCGAGUGUAUGAAGAAGGCCUUCGGGUUGUAAAGUACUUUCAGCGGGGAGGCGUUACCCGCAGAAGAAGCACCGGCUAACUCCGUGCCAGCCGCCGCGGUAAUAC